UGUCACUCACUGCACAAGAUGUUUUGGAUGC
Molecule: non-coding RNA, 31 nt
Filed under: Rattus norvegicus (Norway rat)
Lineage: Eukaryota; Metazoa; Chordata; Mammalia; Rodentia; Muridae
Source: RNAcentral